RNAcentral lists this ribosomal RNA (465 nucleotides) under uncultured bacterium. RNAcentral describes it as "partial 16S ribosomal RNA". It matches the Rfam family "Bacterial small subunit ribosomal RNA", at positions 338 to 795 of the family's 1533-position model. The record is from RNAcentral.
CCUACGGGUGGCAGCAGUGGGGAAUAUUGCGCACUGGGCGAACGCCUGACGCAGCGCCGCCGCGUGAGGGCUGAAGGUCUUAGGAACGGAACCCUCUGUCAGCAGGGAAGUACGUUCACUGUCCUCAUCAGCAGUGAAUUGACGGUACCUGCAAAGGAAGCACCGGCUAACUCCGUGCCAGCAGCCGCGGUAAUACGGCGGUUGCGAGUGUUAAUCGGAAUUACUGGGCGUAAAGCGCUCGUAGGCGGUAUGUCAAGUCAAGUGUGACAUCUCCGCGCUCAACGUGGGAACUGCCUUUGAAACUGGCAAACGGGAGUGUGUGAGAGGAGAGUGGAAUUCCAGGUGUAGGAGUGAAAGCCUUAGAGAUCUGGAGGAACAUCAGUGGCGAAGGCGACUAUCUGGCACAUAACUGACGCUGAGGAGCGAAAGCGUGGGUAGCAAACAGGAGUAGAUACCCUUGUAGUC